GGAUGUUGACGAAGAUCUUAUCUGCCCUAUUUGCAGUGGAGUCUUGGAGGAGCCAGUACAGACCAGCUUUUGAUGCAGCCAUGCACUCUGCAUUUUGAUGUGAAAGCUGCCACCUUCAAUAGGUCAUUUCUCUGCCAGCCUUGCCAGACCAGAGUCAGUUGUAUCAUCCUGGGGCAAGUAUGAGGAGAAGCUCACGAUUACCAGGCACCUCAUUGUGAACAUGCUUUCUGCAACGCCUGCAUCACCCAGUGGUUCUCUCAGCAACAGACAUGUCCAGUGGACCGUAGUGUUGUGACGGUCGCCCAUCUGCGCCCAGUACCUCGGAUCAUGCGGAACAUGUUGUCAAAGCUGCAGAUUGCCUGUGACAACGCCGUGUUUGGCUGUAGUGCCGUUGUCCGGCUUGACAACCUCAUGUCUCAUCUCAGCGACUGUGAGCACAACCCGAAGCGGCCUGUGACCUGUGAACAGGGCUGUGGGUGAGAUUUGUUCCCUUCUGCCCCACAUGGAUAAGGGCCAUCUCAUUUA
This 525-nucleotide small RNA is filed under the name Pongo abelii (Sumatran orangutan). Its description in RNAcentral is "retained intron". The record is from RNAcentral. Lineage: Eukaryota; Metazoa; Chordata; Mammalia; Primates; Hominidae.